Esox lucius (northern pike) is the source of this 316-nucleotide long non-coding RNA. RefSeq lists it as uncharacterized. Lineage: Eukaryota; Metazoa; Chordata; Actinopteri; Esociformes; Esocidae. The record is from RefSeq and is a predicted model, not a curated record. The transcript is spliced from 3 exons.
ACUCCAAAGGGACUCGAUCGUGACUCGUCAUUCCUUCCCUUAUCUGCUGCUGAGGGACCUGCCUGCUUUCCCAUUACCAGGGCUAUGAAAGUGAAUCGUGCGAGUUGGGUCAAAGUCACCCGAGUCACUUUAGGCCAUCCCGGGUACACGUCAUCAGUGAAACGUCUUUCCAGGAGCCUUGUGUCAUCUUCCACUGCUGAAUCGGGCGAAGACCAUUGCAGAUAUUUCUCUUCCAUUCACCAAUUGCAAGAUUUCCAACAGGCAACCAGUGCGCAUCGGAAACAUUUUAAUAUUUCCUGUCAACAUUCAGCUAACU